UGUGUGUGUGUAAUUUGAACUCGGUUGAUUAUACUGCACGCACUGACGAUAAUUGCAUUCUGUGCCUCUGUCUGCAGUUCCUCCGUUCACCAGCCUCAGGUUUACCAUCUUCUUCAUCUGGACCGAAACAACAAACCAACCAAAUGGUUGUAACGUUCCUCUUCAGACAAGUCCUUCCCCUGGGUGACGUCACACCGGCUCUAACGUUAGGGAAGCUUCCAAUUCGCGGGAAAACAAAGGGUGCCGCAACACCAGUAAAAGCAACAAUUGUAGCAACAGAGUGCUCUGCUGAAAUAGGAAAAAAAGAGCAAGCCUCUGAAGUCAUCAAUGAUCAAAACGUUCCAUGAACUUUUAAAUAAGCUCUUAUUGUGUGUCCGUUUUAGACUUUUAAAGUUGUUGUUUUUGUUUUUGUUUUCGAAUGAGCAUCACCCUCAGAUGAAAUCAGGUUGCAAACUGCUGGACGGCCUUUGCUAACUGCCUAACUCUUCCUGUGCUCUCUGAUGAUUUGUGAUGUCUGAAUUGUGUUCAGAUAAAAUCAGGGUUUUUCAUUCAAUAAUGAAUUGCCAUGAAUAUGAAAAAGAAAACUUAUUUAAUGCAAAUUUUAUAUCUUGACAGAACAGUCAUGUACAUUUUUCGGACUGGUGGAAAUAAAUGAUUAUAUUCGCAAA
Molecule: long non-coding RNA, 668 nt
Organism: Hippocampus comes (tiger tail seahorse)
Lineage: Eukaryota; Metazoa; Chordata; Actinopteri; Syngnathiformes; Syngnathidae
Exons: 2
Source: RefSeq, a predicted model, not a curated record